CGAAUAUAAAAAAAAUGUGUUGUACCUAAUGCUUUAGCGCGUAGACUUUUCUGAGGAAAAAACCGUGGGCAAGAAUUUCACAAUCUUGAAAUCGUCCAUCCUCAAACCCCCCAAAAAUUUGUCUGAGAUCAGACAGAAACAACACUUGUUUUCAGCUGAUCAAGAAUGGAUCUGCCACCAGAAGAGCUUCAAUUCUUAACCAUACCUGAUAUUUUCCAAGAAUCAAUCUCCAUACCCAAGAGAUCUCCUAAAACUUUCUACCUUAUUACCCUUACUUUAUUAUUUCCUUUAUCUUUUGCAAUCUUGGCUCAUUCUUUGUUCACUCAUCCAAUCAUUACUCAGCUCCAGGAAAACCCAAAUUCAUCUCAUGCUUCUCAAUGGACCAAACUCAUUGUUUUCCAGUUUGUUUACCUACUUUUCUUGUUUGCUUUUUCUUUGCUUUCAACUGCUGCUGUUGUUUUCACUGUCGCAUCAAUUUACACCUCAAAGCCUGUCUCUUUUUCCUCUACCUUAGCUGCAAUUCCCAGUGUUUUCAAGAGGCUCUUCAUUACCUUCAUAUGGGUUUCUCUAUCUAUGUUGGCUUAUAACACUGUUUUCUUGAUUUUUCUUGUGCUUCUGAUUGUAGCAGCCGAUACCCAGAAUGUGGUUUUGUUCCUUUUCUCCUUCUUGGUUGUCUUUAUACUCUUCCUUGUAGUGCAUGUUUACUUCAGUGCAUUGUGGCAUUUGGCAAGUGUGGUGUCUGUUCUUGAGCCUAUUUAUGGUAUAGGAGCUAUGAAGAAGAGCUAUGAGUUGUUGAAAGGAAGGACAGGAAUGGCAUUUUUCCUUGUUUUUGGAUAUUUGUCUAUUUGUGGGGUAAUUAAUGGGUUUUUUGGGUCAGUUGUGGUGCAUGGAGGUGAAACUUAUGGUGUGAUUUCAAGGAUUAUGAUUGGCGGGUUCUUGGUUGGAGUAUUGGUGAUUGUGAAUCUUGUGGGGCUUUUGAUGCAAAGUGUGUUUUACUAUGUUUGCAAGAGCUACCAUCAUCAGGGGAUAGAUAAGACUGCUCUGUAUGAUCAUCUUGGUGGAUACCUUGGGGAAUAUGUGCCUCUGAAAAGCAGCGUGCAGAUGGAGAACUUAGAAGGCGGUGCCUUGACGCCAUGAUGGUGAGAAAGGCUAUACCCUUGUACUUUCAUUCAAAUUUGUUGUGUGAUAUAUUGGCAAGAGGAAUGGUAAAGACAUUAACUUGCGUACAAUAGACUCUUAUGGUCGGGCCCUUCUCCGGACCCUGCGCAUAGCGGGAGCUUAGUGCACCAAGCUGCCAUUUUGAAUUUACUUGAAAAACAAAUAAAAGAAAAGGCGAGGGAUCGCCUCAUUGGACAGAAAAGCUCACACUUCAUUUUGUGUCUCUUGUUGGGAAAAUGGUGGGGAGAAGAGAUGGGAUGGAGGAGCUAUGCAGAUAACAAAUUGUGGCCAAAGCUGUGAAGAUUGCCCUGAUGACCAGACAGACUAUACCUUUUUCUUUCCUAGAUGUUGAAAUUGAUUCUCUUGUUCCUUUUUGUGAUAAAAGUUGAAGAAACUUUAUCACUUUAGUUAAUUACUCAUUAGAGAUUUAGUUUUUUGGUGCAAAAAAGUACAUACGAAUUAAAAGCUUUUUUUUUUUAAUUUGAACUACUUAACUAUAGUUGGUUACAUUUAGUAUUUGAGUCUUACUUUAUGUCACACUAAACAGAAUAGUAUAUAAAUAUUCACAAGGAAAAAGAAAAGAGAGAUGACUAGAAGUCUAUUCAGAAAUGAUUAGAAGAUGAUUUAUACCAAAAUGGAGUGAGAGAGACGUUAUUUAUUAUAGAAAGAAAAUCCAUGAUUGUAUAAUUACCUACUCUAUCUCUAUGAGUAGAGGUAAAGUCUACAUACAUUUUAUUCUUUUUA
RNA transcript from Solanum dulcamara, 1902 nucleotides. RefSeq lists it as uncharacterized. NCBI's taxonomy places the organism in Eukaryota, Viridiplantae, Streptophyta, Magnoliopsida, Solanales, Solanaceae. The transcript is spliced from 3 exons. The record is from RefSeq and is a predicted model, not a curated record.